Molecule: ribosomal RNA, 253 nt
Filed under: uncultured bacterium
Lineage: Bacteria
Description: partial 16S ribosomal RNA
Rfam family: Bacterial small subunit ribosomal RNA
Source: RNAcentral
UACGUAGGGCGCGAGCGUUGUCCGGAUUUAUUGGGCGUAAAGAGCUCGUAGGCGGCUUGUCGCGUCGACCGUGAAAACUCGGGGCUUAACUCCGGGCCUGCAGUGGGUACGGGCAGACUAGAGUGCGGUAGGGGAGACUGGAAUUCCUGGUGUAGCGGUGAAAUGCGCAGAUAUCAGGAGGAACACCGGUGGCGAAGGCGGGUCUCUGGGCCGUAACUGACGCUGAGGAGCGAAAGCGUGGGGAGCGAACAGG